Long non-coding RNA from Chelonia mydas (Green sea turtle), 1809 nucleotides. RefSeq lists it as uncharacterized. NCBI's taxonomy places the organism in Eukaryota, Metazoa, Chordata, Testudines, Cheloniidae. The record is from RefSeq and is a predicted model, not a curated record. The transcript has 2 exons.
GACUUGAGAGAUCCUUUCUGCUUGCUAUCACUUUUAGCUUUCCUUUUAUUUUUGAUAUCCUUUAAUGUUUUUUGAGAGAAGGUUUGUUGACCAGUUGUGCUCAAGCGCAAUAUAAUUCAAGUCGUGAGCUAUUAGACAUUAUCCCUCUGAAGCAACGCUGCGCUUGUUGUGACGUGUUGCAUUUUUGUCACGAUAGUCAAGCUUGAUGCUUGUUGAAGGUAAUAUUGUGUUAAGAAGCCCAAUUAGUAAAAUCUUUUGAAUAAUAUUCAGUGUUGGAGGAAAAGAUACUCGCAUUUAAAAUGGGCUAUUACUGCCAGAGUAAAAGAAACCCAAUAUCAAGAAGACUUGCAAGUAACAUGUUGCUAUGUAGUCUCUCUGACUAUGAAAAAUAAGGACUUGCUAGGAUUUAACUGGGAACAGUUUUGAAAGAGAACUAUCCUAAAUGAGGUAACUCCUUGUCCUAUAAAUUUUAACCAGAGUUGUCUAUUAAAUAGGAAAAGACACGCAUAUUAGAGAAGAAAAUUGUCUAUUCUUUUUGUGUUAACUUAAUCCCAGAGACCGUUUGCUGUCUGAAAAUGUAAAGCCAUAGGUUUUUCCAGUGAUUUAACUUCAGUUUUUAGGAAACAAUUUUAAAAGCUUUAUACUUGUCUUUAAUUAAAUUGCAUAUUGACCAGUCAUUUGCCAAACUAUUAAUAACUCUUUUCAAUGUUUUCUAGAAGAGCAAUAUGCUUAAAUAAAUCUGAGACUUCAUUCAGUAAGGGGGUACUAGCACGUACACUAAUCAUAAAUUAAUCCUAUAUACCCAAUAGUGUGAACUUGAAGCUUGACGGACCUGUUUGCUGCAAUCCCCUGGGGAUGUUUGAUUGGCAGAAAUAUGAAUAUUAAUAUUGAUAAGAGGAAAGAUGCCUGUCAUUCUUGCCGUGCUGAUUACUAACUUGUUCAUCAGACAGUGAAUGUGGUAUUGGAAGAAAAUGGAAAAAUUGAAGCAAUCGUCAUGUGAUUGUACUAAACUUUCCUCGUGAUCCCAGAUUCCUCUCAUGACAGUUGUAUUUGGAGUUGUGGAUUUUGGUGUUGCGAGCGAGAGCCUGUUGAGAUUCCUAUUUGGAGGUUUCUAUUUUGAAGUAUGUAUUAUCCCUUUUAAAGUACAGAUUUAACGAUGUCAAAGAUGCUCCUUGAACUGCUGUCGACUUUUGUUUAAUUCAAAUUUAUCCUCCGUUUUAAAAUCAAAUCUCCAGAAUAAUCAGUGUUCCUUUUGCUCUCAUGUCCAGGAAACUCCAAAAACAACAAUAACAAACAGCCCCAAACUACUCUUACCCCAAGUCUUAUAUUUAGUGUGUCCUCAGUGUAGCAUCCCAGGGUGAAGUGCGUGGACGUGUGCAAGACUCAGUGUGGAUUCUGAAUACCUAUCAAGUUUUUUAAGCCCGUAUUGAGAGCCAAAAUAAAUUACCUCUGUUUCCUUAUAAACGCUUUCCGAUAAGUAAGCAGUAAAAUGGUUAUACUUGUGAUCAAAUUCUUCUGAUUCCGUGCCUAAAGGAAAUAUCUUUAUUUUUCUAUUUCAAUAGUUGAAAAUAAGUUUUUGGUAGCAUUUAAAGCAAGCUUGUUACGUUCAGGAAAUAAUUCUCUGCUGCGAGAAGGUGUUCAUAGCCAAAUGCUGUUUUGUCACUGUCACUGAAAACAUAAAUUAUUUGUAUUUAUACAAGUUGUACAGAAUUUUACUUGGCAAUCUGCAUAUUUAUUAAAUGAAAAAACUGGAAUUUCUGUGUUGUACUUAAGUUUUUUUUUCUGAAUAAAAGGAAUACUGUACAAAGA